GAUGAACGCUGGCGGCGUGCCUAAUACAUGCAAGUCGAACGAAACUUCUUUAUAACCGAGUGCUUGCACUCACCGAUAAAGAGUUGAGUGGCGAACGGGUGAGUAACACGUGGGCAACCUGCCCAAAAGAGGGGGAUAACACUUGGAAACAGGUGCUAAUACCACAUAACCAUAGUUACCGCAUGGUAACUAUGUAAAAGGUGGCUAUACUACCGCUUUUGGAUGGGCCGGCGGCUCAUUAGCUAGUUGGUAGGGUAAAGGCUUACCAAGGCAAUGAUGCGUAGCCGAAUUGAGAGGUUGAUCAGCCACAUUGGGACUGAGACACGGCCCAAACUCCUACGGGAGGCAGCAGUAGGGAAUCUUCCACAAUGGGCGAAAGCCUGAUGGAGCAACGCCGCGUGGGUGAAGAAGGUCUUCGGAUCGUAAAACCCUGUUGUUAGAGAAGAAAGUGCGUGAGAGUAACUGUUCACGUUUCGACGGUAUCUAACCGGAAAGCCACGGCUAACUACGUG
This 512-nucleotide ribosomal RNA is filed under the name uncultured bacterium. RNAcentral's name for it is "partial 16S ribosomal RNA". It matches the Rfam family "Bacterial small subunit ribosomal RNA", at positions 28 to 507 of the family's 1533-position model. The record is from RNAcentral.